UUUGUGGAGGGUUCGAUUCUGGCUCAGGAUGAACGCUGGCGGCGUGCUUAACACAUGCAAGUCGAACGGGAUCCCGGGUUUCGGCCUGGGUGAGAGUGGCGAACGGGUGAGUAAUGCGUGACCGACCUGCCCUGUACACCGGAAUAGCUCCUGGAAACGGGUGGUAAUGCCGGAUGCUCCGACAUGCUGCAUGGCGUGUUGGGAAAGAUUUAUCGGUAUGGGAUGGGGUCGCGUCCUAUCAGGUAGUCGGCGGGGUAACGGCCCACCGAGCCUAUGACGGGUAGCCGGCCUGAGAGGGCGACCGGCCACAUUGGGACUGAGAUACGGCCCAGACUCCUACGGGAGGCAGCAGUGGGGAAUAUUGCACAAUGGGCGCAAGCCUGAUGCAGCGACGCCGCGUGCGGGAUGACGGCCUUCGGGUUGUAAACCGCUUUGAUUGGGAGCAAGCGAGAGUGAGUGUACCUUUCGAAUAAGCACCGGCUAACUACGUGCCAGCAGCCGCGGUAAUACGUAGGGUGCAAGCGUUAUCCGGAAUUAUUGGGCGUAAAGAGCUCGUAGGCGGUUCGUCGCGUCUGGUGUGAAAGUCCAUCGCUUAACGGUGGAUCUGCGCCGGGUACGGGCGGGCUGGAGUGCGGUAGGGGAGACUGGAAUUCCCGGUGUAACGGUGGAAUGUGUAGAUAUCGGGAAGAACACCAAUGGCGAAGGCAGGUCUCUGGGCCGUUACUGACGCUGAGGAGCGAAAGCGUGGGGAGCGAACAGGAUUAGAUACCCUGGUAGUCCACGCCGUAAACGGUGGAUGCUGGAUGUGGGGCCCUUUCCACGGGUCCCGUGUCGGAGCUAACGCGUUAAGCAUCCCGCCUGGGGAGUACGGCCGCAAGGCUAAAACUCAAAGAAAUUGACGGGGGCCCGCACAAGCGGCGGAGCAUGCGGAUUAAUUCGAUGCAACGCGAAGAACCUUACCUGGGCUUGACAUGUUCCCGGCGACGGCAGAGAUGUCGUUUCCCUUCGGGGCGGGUUCACAGGUGGUGCAUGGUCGUCGUCAGCUCGUGUCGUGAGAUGUUGGGUUAAGUCCCGCAACGAGCGCAACCCUCGCCCCGUGUUGCCAGCAUGCAGUGAUGGGAACUCACGGGGGACCGCCGGGGUUAACUCGGAGGAAGGUGGGGAUGACGUCAGAUCAUCAUGCCCCUUACGUCCAGGGCUUCACGCAUGCUACAAUGGCCGGUACAACGGGAUGCGACAAGGUGACUUGGAGCGGAUCCCUGAAAACCGGUCUCAGUUCGGAUUGGAGUCUGCAACCCGACUCCAUGAAGGCGGAGUCGCUAGUAAUCGCGAAUCAGCAACGUCGCGGUGAAUGCGUUCCCGGGCCUUGUACACACCGCCCGUCAAGUCAUGAAAGUGGGUAGCACCCGAAGCCGGUGGCCUAACCGCAAGGAUGGAGCCGUCUAAGGUGAGACUCGUGAUUGGGACUAAGUCGUAACAAGGUAGCCGUACCGGAAGGUGCGGCUGGAUCACCUCCUUU
Non-coding RNA from Bifidobacterium callitrichos DSM 23973, 1519 nucleotides. Lineage: Bacteria; Bacillati; Actinomycetota; Actinomycetes; Bifidobacteriales; Bifidobacteriaceae. The record is from Rfam.